CCUACGGGAGACAGCAGUGGGGAAUAUUGCACAAUGGGGGAAACCCUGAUGCAGCGACGCCGCGUGAGUGAAGAAGUAUUUCGGUACGUAAAGCUCUAUCAGCAGGGAAGAAAAUGACGGUACCUGACUAAGAAGCCCCGGCUAACUACGUGCCAGAAGCCGCGGUAAUACGUAGGGGGCAAGCGUUAUCCGGAUUUACUGGGUGUAAAGGGAGCGUAGACGGCAGCGCAAGUCUGGAGUGAAAUCCCAUGGCUUAACCAUGGAACUGCUUUGGAAACUGUGCAGCUAGAGUGCAGGAGAGGUAAGCGGAAUUCCUAGUGUAGCGGUGAAAUGCGUAGAUAUUAGGAGGAACACCAGUGGCGAAGGCGGCUUACUGGACUGUAACUGACGUUGAGGCUCGAAAGCGUGGGGAGCAAACAGGAUUAGAUACCCUUGUAGUC
Molecule: ribosomal RNA, 440 nt
Filed under: uncultured bacterium
Lineage: Bacteria
Description: partial 16S ribosomal RNA
Rfam family: Bacterial small subunit ribosomal RNA
Source: RNAcentral